Cotesia glomerata is the source of this 485-nucleotide long non-coding RNA. RefSeq lists it as uncharacterized. The transcript has 3 exons. The record is from RefSeq and is a predicted model, not a curated record. Lineage: Eukaryota; Metazoa; Arthropoda; Insecta; Hymenoptera; Braconidae.
AAUAAUGGAGCUAAUCUGGAAAGAGAUUGGCCCAUAUAUUUUUUGAAAGAGUGAAAACGCUUCAUAGAAGAAGGUAUCAAAAAGAUUCGUUGGUGCAAUCAUUCAAAGUCCGAUUGAAUGAACUGGCGGGCAAUAAUCUUGACCUAAAACUUCCACUCCAACUCAACAUUGUGGGACAUCCACUACCACCUAGGGGACGACGAUCGAAAAAAAUAAAACAUAGUUUAAAAGAAGCUUUAAAUAAUAUUUUCGUAAUUGUACAGAAUCCAGGAGACAUAGAAAAAACUAUGAAAAAUCAAAUUGAUAGGGCGUAUGCCAAAAAUGAUACUGUCCAGCCGUACAUCAUUAUUCAAGGCAGUUAUGAAGAACAAAAUCAAAUUUUAUUAAUCCGUGAUGAUAUAAAAUAUCAAUUUACGUCAGCAGUCAAAGCUUUUGAUUGCUUAUUCAAGUUAUUUCACGUAUUAAAUGUAUCUUAUCCUUAAGAU